AUGCAACCUCCUCUGCACAUUCAGCGAGGUAGCAGGAGACCUUCUGGAGAUGGUUCGAGCCCACAGCUCCCUUCCAUGAUGAGCCUCCUAGCCCCUAAACUCUUGGUCAUUCAGCAGGGGAUGAGGGUUACUGUGUGCUCCCCGUUCCUCUCGUUAGAGCUGUGGCAACGUGAAAGCAUAGAAAUGGGCCAGUGCAAGUGCAUCACGCGCGACGUCUGGGACCUGCACGGAGGCAGCCAGGCAGCCGGCCCCGGGGCUUGGYGCCGCGCGCUGCAGCGAGCGCCUGCAGGUCAAAUGUGUAGUCAGUGAGGCCGCAGCGAGUCCCCUGUGCRUGCCCUGAGGAGCACAUCGAAGUUAAUCGCUAGAGCUCAGGUGCCAGGUAAGCAAACAAUUUCUCAGACCAAAAGCAAUCAUUUAAGGCAGUUAUUCUAACUACGAAACCAACCAGAAAGGUGGAUUAAAAAAAGGUUAUUAUAUAACCUUUUAACCUCUGCUGGGAGGGGACCAUUUCCUGAAAUUCAAUGGCAACCUGGACUCUAUGACCUGGCGUAGAAAGGGCUUUUUUUUUCUCUCUUUUGUUAAUUAAUAAGCUAUAAAUUUUAACACCAGGUGAUGACUAUGGAUCUUGCUGCCUUUUUAGAAAUGGCUGUGAGAGAGAAAACCACUGAGCCACCUAUGUCAGCCCUUACCUGGACAGGCUGUCCUUGAAAAUCUUCUUGACUAUUUUGUUUUAAUUUGAAAAGUCGAGUACUGGAGGGGCACUCCCGGCACUGCUUAUAGUUUCCCCAGUAAUUAGUUUUCAGACACAUCGGUCCAUAGGCAGGCACUUCUGCCGAGGACUUAUUCCACAGCUGGAAGUCCUCCCACAGCUGGACGAGGC
This 880-nucleotide long non-coding RNA is filed under the name Dromaius novaehollandiae (emu). RNAcentral's name for it is "lncRNA (ENSDNVG00000018988.1)". The record is from RNAcentral. Lineage: Eukaryota; Metazoa; Chordata; Aves; Casuariiformes; Dromaiidae.